Long non-coding RNA from Ornithorhynchus anatinus (platypus), 2494 nucleotides. RefSeq lists it as uncharacterized. The record is from RefSeq and is a predicted model, not a curated record. The transcript is spliced from 2 exons. Lineage: Eukaryota; Metazoa; Chordata; Mammalia; Monotremata; Ornithorhynchidae.
UGCCCAGGCCUAUGGUGGCCCAAGAGGAGGAUGAGCAGAUGGCUCCGGGGGGCACAGUGCUAAGAAGUAGAAGAUGAGCAGACAGUUACUGGGAGCACAGUGCUAAGAGGAGGAUGAGCAGACGACUCCUGGGAGCACAGUGCUAAGAGGAGAGCAGCCAGUUAUUGGGAGCACAGUGCUAAGAAGAGGAGGAGCAUAUGGUUCCUGAGAGAACAGUGCUAAGAGGAUGAGCAGACAGUUACUGGGAGCACAGUGCUAAGAGGAGGAUGAGCAGCCAGUUAUUGGGAGCACAGUGCUAAGAAGAGGAGGAGCAUAUGGUCCCUGAGAGAACAGUGCUAAGAAGAAGAUGAGCAGACAGUUACUGGGAUCUCAGUGCUAAGAGGAGGAUGAGCAGAUGACUCCUGGGAGCACGGUGCUAAGAGGAGGAUGAGCAGCCAGUUAUUGGGAGCGCAGUGCUAAGAAGAGGAGGAGCAUAUGGUUCCUGGGAGCACAGUGCGAAGAAGAAGAUGAGCAGACAGUACUGGGAGCACAGUGCUAAGAGGAGGAUGAGCAGACGACUCCUGGGAGCACAGUACUAAGGGGCGAGCAGCCAGUUAUUGGGAGCACAGUGCUAAGAAGAGGAGGAGCAUAUGGUUCCUGAGAGAACAGUGCUAAGAAGAAGAUGAGCAGACAGUUACUGGGAGCACAGUGCUAAGAGGAGGAUGAGCAGAUGAGUCCUGGGAGCACAGUGCUAAGAGGAGGAUGAGCAGCCAGUUAUUGGGAGCACAGUGCUAAGAAGAGGAGGAGCAUAUGGUUCCUGGGAGCACAGUGCUAAGAAGAAGAUGAGCAGACAGUUACUGGGAGCACAGUGCUAAGAGGAGGAUGAGCAGAUGACUCCUGAGAGCACAAUACUAAGAGGCGAGCAGCCAGUUAUUGGGAGCACAGUGCUAAGAAGAGGAGGAGCACAUGGUUCCUGAGAGCACAGUGCUAAGAAGAUGAGCAGACAGUUACUGGGAGCACAGUGCUAAGAGGAGGAUGAGCAGAUGACUCCUGGGAGUACAGUGCUAAGAGGAAGAUGAGCAGACAGUUAUUGGGAGCACGGUGCUAAAGAGGAGGAGCAUAUGGUUCCUGGGAGCACGGUGCUAAGAGCAGAAUGAGCAGAUGGCUCCUGAGAGCACAGCACUAAAAGGAGGAUGAGUAGAUGACUCCUGGGAGCACAGCACUAAGAGGAGAAUGAGCAGAUGGCUUCUAGGAGCACGGAACUAAAAGGAGAUCGACCGGCGGCUCGGAGCACAACACCAAGAGAAAGAUGGGUAGACAGAUCCUGGCAGCACAGGGCUAAGAAGAGGAUGAGCAGAUGGCUCCUGGGAGCACAGUUCCUGGUUCUGUAUGGUAGCUGGGAGAAGCAGAUUAUUAAUUACACUUCAUAUGAUAAAAUCUAUUCAGAAAAACUCAGCAGAAUCUUUGUCGUCUUGAUAAGAGGUCGUCGCACGGAGAAGCGGUGUGACCUCGUGGAAAGAGCACGGGCCUGGGAGUCGGAGCACCUGGGUUCAAAACCCAGCUCCGUCACAUGUCUGCUUUGUGACCUUGGGUAAGUCGCUUCAAGGCCUCAGUUAAAAAAGUGAAAGGCAAUUGAAAGACUGUUAAUUCAUCUAGUUCUUGGAGAGGGGAGUCUCAGAUGACUGUUUCCUCUUCAGGCUCCAGAGCCACCUUCUACUAAACCCUCAGCAGAUCAACGCACCGACUGGGGCAGCAGGGAAGCAUGUCAAGAAAUUGGGGUCUGCGAAAAAGGACUAUACUUCAGCAGCUACAGAAGCCCUCUGGAAUCCGAAAGCCUUUCAUGGAGAACGUCUAUCGGCCAACAUCAUCCCUGUCUAAAAAAGGACAGCGGAGGAGGUAAACUUAUCAGGCAGCCGCAAGACGGCGGACAGAUCCAGUGACCAUCGCUUCGGCCAACAUCGAGCGAGAAAUGGCCAUCUCUGAUGUCAUUCGAAGUGUCCAUUAGACCCAGCGGGGAACGUGAAGUGCCAUCCUCCCUCUGUGGUUUCCCGGUCCAAAAUCAGCAGGCCUCUUCUCUUCGAUAACAAUAGGGAAUGUCUCUUGGCAAUCCGUAGACAUGGAUCCUGCCUCUCUCCACUCCGGAGGACAGGGAGCGUCCCCAUGGAGACACAAUAGCUUAUUUAUUUGUGUUUUUUUAAAAAUAUAAUUUCAGUUUUUUUCUCCUCUCUCUAAAGGAAGGAAGGAAGCGCUGGCUCGGAUGUUUAUUCGUUCUGUUCUGGCCAAUGUUCCCUGGGUCUUGGUCCACUGGCCGAUAAACUGGCAGGGAACUGGAGUAACAGGCUCUGCAGAGCCUGGGAAAGGUCGCGACCUCUCUCCCCCUUUUCCUUGCAUCACAGCUCUUCUAUGAUUAGCUCAGUCUGGUGGCUGGGGGACAUUCUCUCCCACUGUAUCACUCUGAGCAGGAGUCGGUUUUGACGAUUUCCUUUCUCUUCGCAAAAUAUUUUUUGGCAUUUCA